Long non-coding RNA from Haliotis rubra (blacklip abalone), 357 nucleotides. RefSeq lists it as uncharacterized. The transcript has 2 exons. The record is from RefSeq and is a predicted model, not a curated record. Lineage: Eukaryota; Metazoa; Mollusca; Gastropoda; Lepetellida; Haliotidae.
GGAGAUAACCUUGUAACAUGCAACACGGUGAUAGACAGGACAGAUAGCACACCUACCAGCCUGGCCACAACACUAGGGGCGACACCCAUGUCUGUCAAGUUCACAUGUGCUGCUACAAGCAGGUGGCUGCAACUGAUUCCACUUACCCCGACUAGUGCAGCUAUCACCACAAGGUCCAGCACGUACAAACACAGGUGCUCCAUCAUGUCUGUCACACACACCUCACCAUAGGUAACACCACAUGUGUACACCACGACAGAGGAUCGCUAAUACAUCAAGUAUAUAAUCCAGUAUACUGCAGAUCUUGCAGCUACAAUAAAUCUGUGCCUGAAUAAACUGGUGGAGUAAGAAUGAUCA